UACAGAGGUCCCAAGCGUUGUUCGGAUUCACUGGGCGUAAAGGGUGCGUAGGUGGCCAGGUAAGUUCGGUGUGAAAGCUCGGAGCUUAACUCCGAAAUGGCAUUGAAUACUAUCUGGCUAGAGGGUCGGAGGGGAGACUGGAAUUCUCGGUGUAGCAGUGAAAUGCGUAGAUAUCGAGAGGAACACCAGUGGCGAAGGCGAGUCUCUGGACGACUCCUGACACUGAGGCACGAAAGCCAGGGGAGCAAACAGG
Molecule: ribosomal RNA, 253 nt
Filed under: uncultured bacterium
Lineage: Bacteria
Description: partial 16S ribosomal RNA
Rfam family: Bacterial small subunit ribosomal RNA
Source: RNAcentral